RNAcentral lists this transfer RNA (88 nucleotides) under Lactiplantibacillus pentosus. Its description in RNAcentral is "Lactobacillus pentosus tRNA-Ser". It matches the Rfam family "tRNA". Rfam says of the family: Transfer RNA (tRNA) molecules are approximately 80 nucleotides in length. Lineage: Bacteria; Bacillati; Bacillota; Bacilli; Lactobacillales; Lactobacillaceae. RNAcentral also lists the same sequence under 46 other names. The record is from RNAcentral.
GGAGAAGUACUCAAGUGGCUGAAGAGGUGCCCCUGCUAAGGGUAUAGAUCGCGCAAGCGGUGCGAGGGUUCGAAUCCCUCCUUCUCCG